This 473-nucleotide ribosomal RNA is filed under the name uncultured organism. RNAcentral describes it as "partial 16S ribosomal RNA". It matches the Rfam family "Bacterial small subunit ribosomal RNA", at positions 332 to 797 of the family's 1533-position model. The record is from RNAcentral.
UACACUCCUACGGGAGGCAGCAGUGGGGAAUUUUGGACAAUGGGCGAAAGCCUGAUCCAGCAAUGCCGCGUGAGUGAAGAAGGCCUUCGGGUUGUAAAGCUCUUUUGUCAGGGAAGAAACGGUGAGAGCUAAUAUCUCUUGCUAAUGACGGUACCUGAAGAAUAAGCACCGGCUAACUACGUGCCAGCAGCCGCGGUAAUACGUAGGGUGCAAGCGUUAAUCGGAAUUACUGGGCGUAAAGCGUGCGCAGGCGGUUUUGUAAGUCUGAUGUGAAAUCCCCGGGCUCAACCUGGGAAUUGCAUUGGAGACUGCAAGGCUAGAAUCUGGCAGAGGGGGGUAGAAUUCCACGUGUAGCAGUGAAAUGCGUAGAUAUGUGGAGGAACACCGAUGGCGAAGGCAGCCCCCUGGGUCAAGAUUGACGCUCAUGCACGAAAGCGUGGGGAGCAAACAGGAUUAGAAACCCCAGUAGUCCC